GGAAUAAAAUAAAUGCAUCUGCUGAGGGACAGUCAGUGAGUGUGUCUGUGUCCAACUCUUCCUCACAGGUUAGUUAAUGACAGACAGUCAGUGAGUGUGUCUGUGUCCAACUCUUCCUCACAGGUUAGUUAAUGACAGACAGUCAGUGAGUGUGUCUGUGUCCAACUCUUCCUCACAGGUUAGUUAAUGACAGACAGUCAGUGAGUGUGUGUGUGUCCAACUCUUCCUCACAGGUUAGUUAAUGACAGACAGUCAGUGAGUGUGUGUGUGUCCAACUCUUCCUCACAGGUUAGUUAAUGACAGACAGUCAGUGAGUGUGUCUGUGUCCAACUCUUCCUCACAGGUUAGUUAAUGACAGACAGUCAGUGAGUGUGUGUGUGUCCAACUCUUCCUCACAGGUUAGUUAAUGACAGACAGUCAGUGAGUGUGUCUGUGUCCAACUCUUCCUCACAGGUUAGUUAAUGACAGACAGUCAGUGAGUGUGUCUGUGUCCAACUCUUCCUCACAGGUUAGUUAAUGACAGACAGUCAGUGAGUGUGUCUGUGUCCAACUCUUCCUCACAGGUUAGUUAAUGACAGACAGUCAGUGAGUGUGUCUGUGUCCAACUCUUCCUCACAGGUUAGUUAAUGACAGACAGUCAGUGAGUGUGUGUGUGUCCAACUCUUCCUCACAGGUUAGUUAAUGACAGACAGUCAGUGAGUGUGUGUGUGUCCAACUCUUCCUCACAGGUUAGUUAAUGACAGACAGACAGUCAGUGAGUGUGUCUGUGUCCAACUCUUCCUCACAGGUUAGUUAAUGACAGACAGUCAGUGAGUGUGUGUGUGUCCAACUCUUCCUCACAGGUUAGUUAAUGACAGACAGUCAGUGAGUGUGUCUGUGUCCAACUCUUCCUCACAGGUUAGUUAAUGACAGACAGUCAGUGAGUGUGUCUGUGUCCAACUCUUCCUCACAGGUUAGUUAAUGACAGACAGACAGUGAGUGUGUGUGUGUCCAACUCUUCCUCACAGGUUAGUUAAUGACAGACAGUCAGUGAGUGUGUCUGUGUCCAACUCUUCCUCACAGGUUAGUUAAUGACAGACAGUCAGUGAGUGUGUGUGUGUCCAACUCUUCCUCACAGGUUAGUUAAUGACAGACAGUCAGUGAGUGUGUCUGUGUCCAACUCUUCCUCACAGGUUAGUUAAUGACAGACAGUCAGUGAGUGUGUCUGUGUCCAACUCUUCCUCACAGGUUAGUUAAUGACAGACAGUCAGUGAGUGUGUGUGUGUCCAACUCUUCCUCACAGGUUAGUUAAUGACAGACAGUCAGUGAGUGUGUGUGUGUCCAACUCUUCCUCACAGGUUAGUUAAUGACAGACAGUCAGUGAGUGUGUGUGUGUCCAACUCUUCCUCACAGGUUAGUGCAGUGAGGGAUUGAUGCAGGAGAACUGGGACAGCGGUACAAAGGUUUGCUGUGGAUUAAGAAGAGGACAUGCUGGAUUCAGUUUGAGCCUUUAUUAAAUGUGAAACUGUAAAUGGAAAUGUGAAAUAUAGCAGGGGCUGCUUUUACCUGAAAAGGGGGCGGGGCCAUGACGCGAGCAAGUAACCGGAUGAGGAGCUCUCACCUGAGAUUGGAGGAGGAGCAGACAGGUAAUAGAUAGAUACACUUUAUUAAUCAUAAUGUUAAGGACAACGACCCUGUUCGUGUUGCUGUCGAUCCUCCACGUUGUGGCUUCACCUGACCAACAGAACGUUACAGCUCAUCCUGGAGACAAUGUUGUUCUGAAAUGUGAGGCUCCCAGAAACACAACAAUCAAUGUUGCAAAGUGGAAGAAAGAUGGUCUCAGUAAACAUGUGUACUUCAACCGAGACGGGCACUCCAUCGAACCACGUGACCAGGACCCAUCUUAUAUAGGGCGGGUGGAUCUGGUGGACCGUGAGAUGAAAGACGGUAACCUGUCUUUAAAUCUGAAGAAUGUGAGCCACAACGACACUGGAACAUAUGAGUGCAGCGCUGAUAAAGUCACACUGGCUAGGGUUGUCCUUAACGUUACAGAAGCAGAUCAUACGGCAGUGGCAGUGGCAGUGGCAGUGACAGCAUUUGUUUUUUUCGUUGCAUUGAUCAUGAUAUAUCGAAGACUAUCUAAGAACCUCAAGUGUGGCCAGAAUGAUGUUGCUGUUCUGUUCACCAGAUGGUAUGAAGGCUUUAAGCAGGUCGUAGAAAAGCUCAUAUAGGGUGAUGAUAAUGUAUAGAAAGUGGCCAUCCUAGAAGAUGACAGUACUAUUGACUCCUGAUUACACUUCAUCAGUAAUCAUUGAGUCAGUCAGUAUUUUGCUGAAUCCAGCGUGCCUCAGGUACACCCCUACCUGUCUGAAUUCUUGCGGGUUGAAAUCGAACCUCCACGUGUUCUUUUUCAUGUUGCUGCUCUACGUCAGCUCCUCGUGUUCACUUUGUUUGAAUGCUGUCUGUCUGCAGCUCCAGUCUCUUCACAUUAGCCUUCAACCAGCUGAUGUCCUCAUACUGGCUGCGAACCUUUAUGCACUUUGCUUUGCACUGAUGAGCUCCUGCACUUAAAAACAAAAAGUUGUUCAUUUUAGAAUUCAAUGUGUCUGAUGUAUUUUUUGUAUUUUUGUAUUUUCCAUUAAUUCUGGCUUUCUGUUACGGGUUUUGUGUGAAGAACUACAAUUUCUUUGUUGCAGCAGUUCUUUUAUGAAAGCUGCUCCGGAGAUAGUGUUUAUUACAUUAAGCUUUACUUUCUACUGUCUCCAUUGUGUCACUUCAUUUGUGUUACAUUCAUACAGAUAUUUUCACUCAGCUUGUCUUUGUUUAAGUUCCUACUAGAAAGCUUCAUUCUGUGUUAAUUCUGGCGGUUCCUGUGGACAAAAGCAGUAAUCUUUCUGCUUCCUCGUUUUAUUGAUUUUAAGGUAAAUCUGACCUGGUGGCAGCCAUUACUAAUAACUGAUGGCGUUUGGGUCUGUAGGUCAUAUAGCAGCAUCAAUGUUGAACUGUAUAAGGGUUUAAGUACAGAUUCCUGUGGUCCUGAAAUAUCUAUAUAUAAUGAGAGCUCAUUCCUCUGAUCACAUCUCACAAACUACCUCCAGAUUAGCUUUGGAUACUUUUUAUUAAUAAAAUGAUUAUUAUGUAGAGUCUGCAAAAGUCUGUUCUAUUUCCUUCUUUGGACCUUGGAUCAGUACACAUAGAGAACCAGGUACAAAUGAUCCUUUUUGAGAGAGAAAUGUCUAGAGCUGAUGUUUGUGUAGGUGGACUCUGUAUUAGCUUUCUUAUCAAUGUGAGAGUGAAGGUACAACAUUAUGGAAACAAACUGCUCAUUGAAUUAACACCUGAAAGUGCCAUUUGCUGUUAUACAGAGCCUUCAGUCAUGACCAAUAAAGCUGCUCUUUUACAGUAAA
Dicentrarchus labrax (European seabass) is the source of this 3386-nucleotide RNA transcript. It is a transcript of the gene named butyrophilin subfamily 1 member A1, with no coding region annotated. NCBI's taxonomy places the organism in Eukaryota, Metazoa, Chordata, Actinopteri, Moronidae. The transcript is spliced from 7 exons. The record is from RefSeq and is a predicted model, not a curated record.